AUGCCCUUCACUGCAGGCUGUGCUUGGAUGGUGCCGUGGGGCCAAGGGAUGCACCCCGAGGCUGGGUGGCUGCCCUUGCACUGCUCUAUUUGCUCUGCAUGUGGAGACCAAGGCACAAAUGCCAGAGCAACCUCCCCAACCAUUAGCAUAUAUGCAAAGAGCACUUUCGAGCAUCAUCACCACACGAAAAACUCUGGCAGUUUCAGCAGAGGACAGCAGCCGGGGUGCUGGGGGUGCCCCAUGGGGACCCGUCCCUCGGGCAGCUGGGGGUGUCCCCAGCUCUGCUCUGGGGACCCAACCCAACCGUCCCUGCUCUGGGAACCCGUGGUGGCACGGGAGAGACCCCAGAUGGAAGGGAACCGGGGUGGGGGUGGUUACUGCUCCGCUUCCCACCCCCAGCUUCUGCUUUUACUCCUCAUUUUAUUGAUCUUUAAUUUCUUUUCGCUUUCAGUCAUCGCAGCCCACUUGGGCUCCCUGGAGAGGAGCCGGCACCAGCGUGCCUCCCGGGAGGGGGCCUGGGGCGCGGGGGCCGGGGUCUCCCCGCACGCGAGCGCAGCGGUGCAGGGCCGGCCCCUGUCCUCCUCCCAAGCCCCUCUCCACCUGCACGGCAAUUUCAGCCUCGCUUUCCGUGGCACCGAGGUGGUUCUUUGCCCAGCUUUGCUGUAUUUUAAGAUGAGUUCAGAUAGAUGUUUAUUUCCAAGUAAUAUUUUUUUUUUGGCUUUUGCCACUGUGAUUGUUUGUGGAGAGGAAAUAUUGAACAGAAGCCACAAAUCAAAGCCUCAGAUACUAAUUUGUGCUUAUGUAAAUGUGACAGGGGUGGAAGCCCCAGUUCAGGCACGUAACUCCUGGGCCUCGCAAUCGGUGCAAGUACCGGCGGUGGGUGCGCGAUCCCCCUGCUCAGGCCAUGGGAUCCCCCUGCCCCCCUGCCUGUCCCCACGCUGUGCCCCCCGGUGGCACGGCCCCGCCGGCCCCAGCCCUGCACCCAGCGCCGGGAGCCAGCUGCUGGUCACCAUGGAGACCCGGAGGAGGAUUUGGAACCAUCGCAGAGAAAUUUCAGCAUUCCCCUGGCCAUGCACAGCCCGUGCUCUCUCCUGGCUGCGGUUUUGUUCUGCCCAGCCCCAAGCAGGGCGGCAGAGCUGUUUGCAGGACAGUGCACCCCGAUCCCCCCUGAGGGCAGCCACCAAGGCGCCAGCUGGUGCCGACCCAGCACGGAGCCUGCCGCUGGCAUUUCCCAGCCUUGGGACAGCACCCAGGUGUGCUCCUGUGGUGGGGCUGAGUCCUCCUGGCCCUCUGAGGGGCUUGCGUCUCCUGCGGAUUGUUCUUAAUCUGCCCCGUCCCAGAGGUUUGCCCAUAGAGGCUGAGCCCACUGCCACCAGCAAGAACCUGAGGAAUGGGUUUUGUUUCAGAAACAAGAGUUUCUGUUGCUGUUCGCUGCUGCUGGGUUUCUCGGUUCUUGGAGGACAUCGAACCUCUGGCUGCCUUGUAGCAGCGAGGGUCAGCGCAGUGGGACGGAGCGGGGUGGUGGGGCUUGGCUGCAGGUCGCUGGGUGCCCAGAUUUGGGCAGAGGGGCUGCUGGAGCCAGCAGGACGGGUGGGAGCAAGGGCUCGGAGGAAGGGGAAUGCUAAUCAGGCUGUGUGCUGGCAGCAGCCAGAAUGCUGCACAAUAAAUAGCCAUUUUAAUUACUGCACAAUAUUUACAAGAUUGCUUCCUCAUUUGGGAAAUUAA
Molecule: long non-coding RNA, 1725 nt
Organism: Anser cygnoides (Swan goose)
Lineage: Eukaryota; Metazoa; Chordata; Aves; Anseriformes; Anatidae
Source: Ensembl